CUGGCGGCGUGCCUAGACAUGCAAGUCGUGCGACGAAACCGUUUCUUUCUCCGCAAGGGAAAAGAGAUGGCGGAAAGCGGCGAACGGGUGAGUAAUACCUGGACAAUCUACCUUUACACGGGGGAUAACUACGCGAAAGCGUGGCUAAUACCGCAUGAUAUCCUUGACCGCAAGGUUAAGGAUUAAAGGGGUUGCAAGCAAUUGCAAUCUUGCGUAAAGAUGAGUCCAGGUCCUAUCAGCUUGUUGGCGGGGUAACGGCCCACCAAGGCUAUGACGGGUAGCUGGUUUGAGAGGAUGGUCAGCCACACUGGGAUUGAGAUACGGCCCAGACUCCUACGGGAGGCAGCAGUCGGGAAUUUUGGACAAUGCCCGCAAGGGUGAUCCAGCGACGCCGCGUGGAGGAUGAAGGCUUUCGGGUCGUAAACUCCUGUCGAGUGGGACGAAGUUCCGGUAGUAAUACCGGGAUUGACGGUACCACCAAAGGAAGUCCCGGCUAACUCCGUGCCAGCAGCCGCGGUAAGACGGAGGGGGCAAGCCUUGUCCGGAUUGACUGGGUGUAAAGGGCGUGUAGGUGGCCCGGCGGGUCUGACAUUAAAGCCCACGGCCUAACCGUGGAAAAGUGCCAGAAACUACCGGGCUUUGAGUCUGAAAGAGGGGAGCGGAACUCCUGGUGUAACGGUGAAAUGUACGGAUAUCAGGAGGAACACCAGUGGCGAAGGCGGCUCCCUGGUUCAUGACUGACACUGAGGCGCGAAAGCAAGGGUAGCAAACAGGAUUAGA
Molecule: ribosomal RNA, 780 nt
Filed under: uncultured bacterium
Lineage: Bacteria
Description: bacterial SSU rRNA
Rfam family: Bacterial small subunit ribosomal RNA
Source: RNAcentral